RNAcentral lists this ribosomal RNA (608 nucleotides) under uncultured archaeon. RNAcentral's name for it is "bacterial SSU rRNA". It matches the Rfam family "Archaeal small subunit ribosomal RNA", at positions 1 to 617 of the family's 1478-position model. The record is from RNAcentral.
UUCGGUUGAUCCUGCCGGACCUGACUACUAUCGGAUUGAUACUAAGCCAUGCGAGUCAUUGUAGUAAUACAAGGCAGACGGCUCAGUAACGCGUAGUCAACCUAACCUAUGGACGGGAAUAACCUCGGGAAACUGAGUAUAAUGCCCGAUAGAACACUAUGCCUGGAAUGGUUUAUGUUCCAAAUGAUUUAUCGCCGUAGGAUGGGACUGCGGCCUAUCAGUUUGUUGGUGAGGUAACGGCCCACCAAGACUAUUACAGGUACGGGCUCUGAGAGGAGUAGCCCGGAGAUGGGUACUGAGACACGGACCCAGGCCCUAUGGGGCGCGGCAGGCGAGAAAACUUUGCAAUGUGCGAAAGCACGACAAGGUUAAUCCGAGUGGUUUCUGCUAAAGGAACCUUUUGUUAGCCCUAGAAACACUAACGAAUAAGGGGUGGGCAAGUUCUGGUGUCAGCCGCCGCGGUAAAACCAGCACCUCAAGUGGUCAGGAUGAUUAUUGGGCCUAAAGCAUCCGUAGCCGGUCCUGUAAGUUUUCGGUUAAAUCUGUACGCUUAACGUACAGGCUGCCGGAAAUACUGCAGGACUAGGGAGUGGGAGAGGUAGACGGUA